This is a long non-coding RNA of Ipomoea nil (Japanese morning glory), 294 nucleotides long. RefSeq lists it as uncharacterized. The transcript has 2 exons. The record is from RefSeq and is a predicted model, not a curated record. Lineage: Eukaryota; Viridiplantae; Streptophyta; Magnoliopsida; Solanales; Convolvulaceae.
CAAGAGAAGCUUCACAUGCACCACAACCUGAAUCUUCUAAAGUCUAGCUAUGUGGCAAACUUAUCUGAAUCUACAACCAAAGAGGAUCUUAGGGAAGUUUUUGGUUAUUUUGGAAGAAUAGCUAGCACUGUAGUUGUGAGAGUGAAGAUGGAAAAUCAAAGUGUUUUGGAUUCGUCAAGUUUAAGGAUGCCAAUGAGGCUUCUUGGAGUAUAGAAGUGCUUAAUGGCCACAAAAUUGAUAACAAAGAAGUGGUGUGUGAGAAGAGCUCAGAAGAAGAAGAGUGUUAAAAGAGCU